The sequence is a ribosomal RNA, 479 nucleotides long. It matches the Rfam family "Bacterial small subunit ribosomal RNA", at positions 16 to 486 of the family's 1533-position model.
AUCCUGGCUCAGAUUGAACGCUGGCGGCAGGCCUAACACAUGCAAGUCGAGCGGAAACGAUCCUAGCUUGCUAGGAGGCGUCGAGCGGCGGACGGGUGAGUAAUGCAUAGGAAUCUGCCCGGUAGUGGGGGAUAACUUGAGGAAACUCAAGCUAAUACCGCAUACGCCCCAAGGGGGAAAGCAGGGGAUCUUCGGACCUUGCGCUAUCGGAUGAGCCUAUGUCGGAUUAGCUAGUUGGUGAGGUAAUGGCUCACCAAGGCCGCGAUCCGUAGCUGGUCUGAGAGGAUGAUCAGCCACAUCGGGACUGAGACACGGCCCGAACUCCUACGGGAGGCAGCAGUGGGGAAUAUUGGACAAUGGGCGAAAGCCUGAUCCAGCCAUGCCGCGUGUGUGAAGAAGGCCUUCGGGUUGUAAAGCACUUUCAGCGAGGAAGAACGCUUGUGGGUUAAUACCCCGCAAGAAGGACAUCACUCGCAGAA